ACCGAGCUGGGUCUGUUGCCACUAAGUCUUUAGCUCUACAUAAUCCACCAAAUGUGGUACAGUAGAAGUAAGCAGCUUGAAGCUGUAUUCAGUUUUGAAAGGAAGUUUGUUUGAUUUCAAUGAAGAAAAUCUAUGACAAACUCACACAAUGUUGAUUUUUACUGGGUAUUUUACAUGUGUAUUCCUGGUAUGUGGGAAAACCAAAACUGGAAUGAUUUUAUCAAAUUUUCUGAAAAAAUGUGUUCUUAGCUUUCCAGAGAGUGUGUGAGGUUUUUCCCUGUGAUACCUGCUGGGAUCCAAUUGGAGAGUCUAAUGUUGAAUCAGAAACAACAGGAAAAUCCCCCUAAUCUUAAAGAUCUUUGUGGAAAUACAGUAGUGCUUCUGUAACAUCCAUCAGCUUGGUCAUCUCCAGUGACUGAACCCAAGAUCUGCAGAGCUAAAGCAUGAGCCUCCAUGUGGACCAGGCCCAUGGGGUGACAUGUAACACACUGACUAGUGGGUUACAGUUCCAUUUUGUUUCUGAUGAAUACUCUUCCCCACUGCAGAAGGUAGUUCCUUUCCAUCCCGCACGCCUGCCCCUUCGGAACUCCGGUUGUGUCCAGCAAAUGUUCAUUGUACCCGUUUCCCUUGUUACUGAUGAAAAGCACAUCAAAAGUAAUGUUUUGAUGAAUUUUUUGUAAGCCUCCUCUGUAACUGUCUUGUUUAGUUUAUGGUUUUUAUAUGCCCAAUGCUGCGGUAUCUCGGAUCAUGAUGGCUUACUGUAAAUAAAGGCUCAACAAAUUAAUCUGUCCCAAAUAUGCAGUGCAGAGAGCCCCCACUCUGUUUGGCACCCCAACCAAACACACUAUAUUAUCCAGUGUUCGACCAAAACGAUGUGUUUGGUACCAUGCUCCAAUUAAUAAAUUUGGUCUAUCACAGACACUGAAUUCCUGGGGACCCUCCAUUCUCCAAGAGUGUGCAAGCAGUGACUGUCAGGAAAAAUACCUCUGCCAUCAUAAUAAAGCAUAGUGUGAGAGUUGGCCCCUAAGAGAGCCAUUCCUAGAGUAUAUAGGAUUUACUAGACUAGGAUCAACACUGUCAGUUGCCCCUGAAAGCAAGUGGGAAGCAAAUGCAAUUUAAAGAUGGACAUAGCACAGAUGAAGUGCGCAGAUGUCAGACCCCCUAGGCUAAGCAGGCAGACUGCAUUGCCAGCAUCACCUCUGCCCACCCCAGACUGAGCUGCAGCUGAGUUAGUUAAUGUCUGUGUCUUGGACAAACGAGGACAAUUCUGAUCAAAGUGCAGCCUGAUGAAAAAGAGACUUAGAAUUGAGUGCUACCAGCAACCCACAGUGCCUCACAGUCUCCCCGGCAGCCUUGUAUACAUGCCGCAGUGACCAUGGCUGAUUGGAACCCUGUGUCACCACCACAAGUGAGCAGCUACUUGGUGCUAUCCCUUGUCUGCUACUUCCCAGGUUCUUCUCUGAGACCUGCGAGAGAAGAAGAGAACAGAGACUCUAAAGAGCAAUCCCAUUGGCCAAUUUGAUCCUGCUGGCAUAUCAGCAAUACUUUGUGCUCAGCCAUAUCAAAGGUGAAUAAAUUUAAUAAUAUCAUCAUGGACACUUGGCCUCUGUCCACUGUCACUAGAUCAUCAGCUAAAGAAACCAGUGGAGUCUCUGUAUCAUGGCCAGGCAUGACAGAGAACAAUGAUAGCAAAAAUAUUUGCAAAACUUAUCCACUCUUCUGAUAUCACUGAGAGAAGAGGAAUAGGUAUCAAAUAAAUUCCUUCUGAGCUCCCAGUCAGCUUGAGAAUGAACAGCUGAUAGUGGAGAAGUGAUGGUCUAGGCCUGAACAUUCCUUAGUUCAACAUGGACAGUUCUCCAUACUGCGGUCCCUAUUCCUCCAAAGCACACAUUAUACACACCUGCUGGAGUGGUCCCCAUAGUGUGGGAGUUGAACAGUGGAUGGUAUUUAAACGGUAAUAAAGAGUUGUAGUGGGUUGCUUUGUGUUCUUAAGAGCUAACCUAGUGUCUGAAGCUUCAUUUAAGAAAUGCAGCAUUAGCAGAGUCUCUAGUUUAAGAACUGGUUAAUAGGUAGUUUAUACAUAAAUACAGCAAGGAAGUUCAAGAGGCAGUGGACUUUGAAAGUUAUUGUAUGGUGAGCUCUGUUCCUUCUUUUUUUAGAGCCAGCACGAAUUUUGCAGGAAAUAUACAAAUACUUCACAGCAACCUUUGAAGGUAUCUUUUGUUUUUCUAUGCAUUCAGGUGCAUGGCUGCUUUUAUUAUCUCUCAAAGUUAGGAAGGUGCCAUAAUGGCUGCUUCCACCAUUGUUUAUUCUAUUAAUAUAGAUAUUUAGUAAUUAGAAUAGCUUUUAUAGUGCCUUGCAAUUUUCUUUUUAAAAGGUAUAUUAGAUGAACAGGCACUCCAAGUCCAAGAGUGUUGGGUGCCAAUAGUUCCCUGAAAUUCUCUUGCUUCUAAGGCUCCUGAGUAUAACCUGUAAAUAACACCUGAAGAUAGAUUCACUUUCAUUUCCAAGAACUGACCCAACCCCCAUGGAGAUUAUGUGAUGUAUGUGUCCUCUUUCUCUUUCAUUUUGUUUUGUAGCAACGUCAUGGAUUUUGUUCAGAUUUAUGGAGGCUGCCUAGACUAAACAACUCACACUGCAAGCAAAAAAAUCUACCCAGUUCCAUCUAUUACACUUCUACCAGGGAGUUUAAUAACUUCCAUAAUUUUCUCUAUGGAUUCACAUAAAAGAGCAUGCUGUUUUUAAAAAAAGAGAAAUACAUUCUCCUCCAUCUAGGACUGACAAAUCUAAUAGCAAAACCUUCAAUUAAAUGGAGAGAGAUUCCUUUAUUUUGCACAAGUUCGUUUCUAACCUUUCUGGUAACUAUUAACUAUAAUUACAGAACUAUAUAAUUACAGUAUUUGUAUUCUAAGCAUUCUAACUUCAAAGGUAUGUAGCAGUUAUUCUAAUCUGUCAACUGAUAUGCUUUUUCUGAAGCACUCUGUAGCCCUGAGUUAAUACUUUUUGUGGUAGCCACUCUAAAGGACACGUUUUGCUGAAAUGUAGUGAGAAUUAUUGCUUUAAAAAAAAAGUGUUCAUUUCAUCCUAAACAUAAUUUUCCCUCCAAUCCUUCAGUUUUAUUACCUCUUUUCUUUUCUUUGCAGUAAAAACACAUUUACUUAGUGCAUGACAAUUUUUCUCAUGAACAAAACAAACACUUGUGCAGAAUAAGUGCUCUGGCAGAGUAUAUCAAGGGCUUCUGCAUGGAGGCAAGGGGAGCAGGAUGUACUUUUUUUUAAACUGCGUCCUUCACUAGAAAUGUUUUUGCAUGAAAAUUAAAAGACAGUUUUGUAGAAAUGAAAA
Molecule: long non-coding RNA, 3342 nt
Organism: Chelonia mydas (Green sea turtle)
Lineage: Eukaryota; Metazoa; Chordata; Testudines; Cheloniidae
Exons: 2
Source: RefSeq, a predicted model, not a curated record